UGAGUAACCUGCCCUUAACUCUGGGACAACUCCGGGAAACCGGGGCUAAUACCGGAUACGACCUUCCCUCGCAUGGGGGUUGGUGGAAAGUUCUUCGGCUGAGGAUGGGCCCGCGGCCUAUCAGCUUGUUGGUGGGGUGAUGGCCUACCAAGGCGACGACGGGUAGCCGGCCUGAGAGGGCGACCGGCCACACUGGGACUGAGACACGGCCCAGACUCCUACGGGAGGCA
This 230-nucleotide ribosomal RNA is filed under the name uncultured bacterium. RNAcentral describes it as "partial 16S ribosomal RNA". It matches the Rfam family "Bacterial small subunit ribosomal RNA", at positions 118 to 350 of the family's 1533-position model. The record is from RNAcentral.